Molecule: non-coding RNA, 22265 nt
Organism: Sturnus vulgaris (Common starling)
Lineage: Eukaryota; Metazoa; Chordata; Aves; Passeriformes; Sturnidae
Source: RefSeq, a predicted model, not a curated record
GUUCAAGCCAAUCUUCGAGUGUGCCAGUAGUGUUUAAAAGGUAUUCAUUAAACAAAGCAACUGCAGGAACUCAGGAACCUUUUGAAGAUGUGUGUUCUCAUGACAAGGCAAACUAUCAUUCCAUGUGUAAGUCUGACUCAUUUCUUAAAGCUCACUGUAGAUACAUAAUGCCAGCGACCUUGUUUUGCCCUUCUGCUUAGCUCAAAUAUCUUUCCUAAGGAAGCACCAGUGUCAUCACAGAAGUUAUUAUUCUGUGCUUGUACAAGGAGAUCAAGAAUAAACUGUAUGCAGCAGAAACUGGCUUUCCAAUAAGAAAAGCUGUUCCAGAGAUUUUCUUAUGAAAGUUAAAUGACAGCAGACAUUGACUAAGAUUGCUACAUCAAAAGCAGGUUAUAGAAGGAUUUGCUGUCAAUUAAAAUAGGAUGAGUUUUAGGAAACAAAGUGUUUAAAUGUAGCUUGUUCUUUUUGUAAGAGUCAAACUUACAUAAAUUUAUGCUACUGCACAAACUGACUGAGACAUAUCUCUGGCAAUUGCCCAUUACUUGUUAUGAAAUGGAAUGUUUCAUGGUGCUGACACACCAAGCCCAUAUUUAACACCAGAGUUGUGACAUGAAUCAAUGUACUGGUAUGCAGAUCACUUGCUUCUUCCCUUCUUGACAAACAGCUCUGCAAUAAUCACUUAGAAAUUCCUUAUAUGCAAAUUAGGUAUCAGGAAAGGAUUUAUGGCUGUCCAACAUAAUUUAGCACCAGGAAAGAAAGAGGAAAAGCCGGGACAAUGUGAAAUUUCUAAGAAUCACAAUUACCACACUUAUGGUGCAAUUUCUCUGAAUCACUUAAAAUUUCAUCAGCUAUGUCCUCAUCUCUUAAAAAAAUAUGAAUUUUCACAGAAUAUGUAUGAAGUUGAAGGAGCUAGGAAACACUCUGAAUAUCCAAUAUUAGCUCCUGCUAAUUUUCUACAGUUUGACAGUCAACCUUAAACCCUAGACAACAGACUAUGGCUGUAUCUUACAUAUCAGGUAAGUAAUAGAGUAUCACCAUUUUGAUCACUGUGGGUAAGAGUAAACAAAUAUUGAUUUUUUUUACUUUUUUACAGCAUGAGAAUUAGUCACACCGAAAAAAAGCAACUCACUCAAGAAAAUUCAGUAAAUCUAUAGCAGAGCUAACACCUGAAUUUAAGUCUAUCAAGCUCUAAAAUCCUACUAACACACAAAACGCACACUUUAUAAUCAGUAGUUUUUUACAGUUGAAUGAAAAAUAAUUCAGAAUAUAAUAUUAGAUAUAAUGAGGAAUGUCAAGGGUUGUGCUACCCAGUAUGAAAUUGAGAUUGAAGUCAGCUCCUUUCCUGCUGUCUGUUAAUGGCCAAGGAUGUAAGUUCUGUCCAUCUUCUCAUGCCAUUUCAGACUGUCACUAAGGUAAACAUGAUCAUACCUCACAGGCUGUGAAAAACUUACAGGACUUCAAGCAAUAUUUAUGAACAAAAUGCAGGAUGGCAGAAAAUUGAAUGCAGUAGAUUGAAUGAAAACAAGAAAGAUUUUCUGUGAUUUCAGUUUCAGAUUUCCAGACACUGCAGAGGACAAUAAUUUUCAGAAAAAGGGACAGUUAUGUUUGAAAGGAAGAGAAACAAUGUCAAAAUGAACUCCAUAUCACAGGAAUGUCCUGCGUGCAUUGAAAAGAUUAGCUUGCCCAGAAAACUUGUCUUUUAAAAAAUAAUUUGAAAUAAAACCAAGAAGAAUUAAUUUCACUUCAGUAAGUAAUGUCCUAAUCAAAGCCAAUGAAGAAAUAAGGUGAUGUGAAAUACAUUUUUAGAUCAAAAAAAGUAAGUUGGAUCACUGAAAUGAAAAAGAAAUAAAGUCAAAAAUUCAAUCCCCAUAUCACCUCAUUACUUCAAGAUGCUGAUAUCACAGUCUUACUACAGGUUUCACGCUAUUGCAUCUAUCUUUCAUCUUUGAUAAAAACAUAAAACACCUUAAGCAAAGCAACUUGAACAAUGGUACUGCACAUGGUAUGCAAAUUGCAGGUGGCUUAAAGAAUAUACAUACAGUGCAGCUGGAUUUUAUCUGCCAAACAGGUGCUAGAUUUUGGAUUUGCUGACUAGUCACAACUUUAAUGACUUUUCAGUGAGAGGUGAAAUGAGGACCUGGGGAGUCUUCCAUUCAUGCUUGUCUAGCUAUUUUUAUUUGGUUUUGUCUUUACUGAAAAUUUUCAAAAGAACAUAAUAAAUGAGCACAUCACAACACUCUUCCUCAGAAUAUCCUACUCUUUUGCAAAAACUGGCAGUUAAUAAACAUAAAACUAAUGUGUUUAGAUACUGGAAUAAAAAUACAGGUGAUGAUGUGGCAGAAGAUAUUUUAAACCUUGCAGUCUGAAGCACCAAUAUAUAUAAAGUGCUGCACAUCAAAGUACUCUACAUGUCUAGCUAAGAGUCUGGCCCCACAUAUUCAAAUACACAAGAAGACAGCAACAACCAAAACAACAAAGCGUGAGGUUCUCUUCCCUUGGCUUUGGAACAAUAUAAUGAAGUGCAGUCCUUACAUCUGCCCACAGGUCACUAUGACUCCUCUAUCAGCUGUACCUUGUAAACUCUCCAGCAUAUUAUAGAGCCAUGGUUUUAAACACUUCAGGGUGGAAUGGUUUUUGGGCUUUUUUUCCUGCAUGCUUACAGAGAUUGGGUGUGAUUAUUGCAUGGAGCACUGCCACUUCCCCCAUCCCUACUGAUACUGGUUACCCUGUCAUGCUAUGAACUCUGGGGGUUUAAAUAUUUUGACCACGAAAUAGACUUGUCACAAUUAAAGGCACAUUAAUAUAAACUAAAGAUACUAAAGAUUAAUAUUUAGUUUGAAUGUUAGCACUGAGGCACAAUCUAAAAGAAGACACUGUUAGUAAAGCAGAGCUGAACUAUGACCUUCCUUUUUCAGGGGAAGCAGCAUAUAGAAAUGAGUCCUAUCAAAACUAACAACCAGAAAGGACUAUCAGAGUAGUAAUCUAAGCUGAAUUAAACACCUGAACAGAUAUUACAGAGCAGGAUCAUUAGCUAAAUGAUUAGACAAAGCUCUUAGGCAUCCUACUUAUCAUCUCAGUUAUAAAGAAUGGUAAAAAUAGUGCCCUACGGAGCACAAAGCAAGAAGACAACAUUGUUUUUUGGAACAGGAGGAAAGCUCUGACGAAAAGAAACUUGCCUAAGGUUAAUACAAUUGUCUGGUUUUGGGUACUUUACACUUCUUCUCCAAUAUAUCACUGCACACUUGCACAAAAUGCCAACACAUUAGCACAGUAAUUCUGCCUACUUAUUAAUUAUGCCAUCAGUCACCCAUCCUAAACAUGCUGGAGCUGAAAAGAAACUGCAAGAUGCAUUUUCUUUUUCCAAAGGCCCUUUACCUUGGCACUGAGUCUGUUUUAAGUUUCCAUACACGUUCCUCUUCUCCUACAGACUUUGACCUAUUUAGCCUGUUAUUUGGCACUCUUUCAAAAACAGAAAUCUAAAAAAUGUACGGUUUAGGAGUAAAGAGAGACAGGGAAAUAAUCCCAUCUCCCAGAAUCAACAGGAUGUUGAUACGAGAUCCAGAAGUUCUUUCCCACCAGACAGAUCAAUGAGCAAUUAUCUAUAAAGCAUAAGGCUAGGCAGCAGGGUUCAACACUGCUCAGAAUUAUUUACUUCUCCUGUGAUUUUAAAAACUAUUCUCCUUGCCCUUCAAUGAGAAAUAUAUGUAUGGAGGGGUCUUGAAAGCUGAAAAUUCAUUAGAUGAACUAGGAACAAGCUAAUAAAGCAAGUAACACUGAUAACUUGAGUGCUCUCCUAUAGAGAGAGCACCUUCAUAUGACUAUGUUCAAUCUGCUAUUCAUCACAGCAAAUAUUAGUACAGAAAAAAUCACCCUGAAGUCCCUUCUCAUCAGGUGAUAAAUACUGCUUGUCUUUUGCAGGAAUAAGGGGCAACUGUGUGAAGAGUUAGCAAACUCUGGACCCAGGCUGCAAAACGUCCACUCACACACUCUACCUGAUGACAAAUUCAACCCCAGCACCAAUCUCCAAAAAUUUUGUGGUCUAAUUAUUUUAAUGUCCUCAUGCUCUGUAAAUCUCCAGCCUCCAGUGCUGUUUCAAAGGCAUUACAGCUGAGACAACAUGGACAGCCAAAUUAAGAGAGAGGCUACAAGAAGCUACUUGCAUUGUAACAGCAAGAGUUAUCUUCAGAGUUGCCAUCUAGGCCAUCUAGGGAUGAGGCAAUGACCUUUUUUUAUUCAGCCACCAACACAUGGGCUCAUGCUUUCAAUAAUAUGCUCCAAAGCCAUGAUUUCUAAGAUCUGCUAUACCCAGGUGUCCCAGCAGAGACACAGAUGCAACUAGGACUGGCACCAGAUGAGAGUUAAAUAGCAAAAGGAAGCCUAAAACAGUGAAGCCAAAGACUGGCGUAGGGAGGAUAAUAGAGGUGAGCUGCUGCUGUUGAUCAGGGAUAUGGAAUAUGACCCUCUUGAGGAAUGAAUUCAAGAGUAUGAAGUCCAUCUGAGAGAAGCCUGUUUCCUUUGCACGCAUAUGAGUGCAUAUGAGUCACAAAGCAGGGAGGGCCUUUCUGGACAUCUCUGCCUAAACAAAGAGAAGAGAGGCAGACCUAUCUCUAGAGACAAUACCAUGUCACAUAAACAGAAUAACAGAAUAUUCUGAGUUGGAAGGGGCCCAGGUUGUUCCCUUUACCAGCAGUCUCUCCGUGAAGAGAGCAAGAAAUUUUCUGAUGUUUGACAAACUUUUACACUUGAAUUUUUUUAAGAAUUGUAUCAGUAGCAAGUGACUUUCUUUUAGAUACUAUUCUUGUUUUAAGACUUCACAGUUUCCUCUUGUUCUUUUCCCACUCUGAAUUGCUCUGUGGCAAUCUGGGAGAUGUUCAGUACAAUUACUUUCUUUCCUAGGAAUGACACUUGUUUCUGGUGUGGAGCUACUGUCAAUUCAUCAUACAAAACCAUCAUUAGCCCCACAUCUGGAAUUAGUAGCCCCCCUUCUCAUCUGGAGAACAAAGUAAUCCCUCUAACAGGCUAUAGUGAUGCAAGGCAGAUUGGAAUGACACAGCACUCAAAGAGUUCAAAGGCAUCAGCCUCCAACACCUGUGCCACGCACACAUGUUGGACAUCAUUCAACCUGAGCCUGGUGCCAGUGCCAGUUGCACAAGUAUGGCAUCUGCUCUGAAUGUCCCUGCCAAAAUGCUUGACCAGGAGCCAAUACUCUUUUCCAAAGGAGGUGUUAACUCACGGGUUCAUAGUCACUUCUCAGAAACAGAGAGUAGACAGAGAAGAAAAGUGAUUUACAAAGUAGAUCUAGCAAGAGGAUUGUCCCUCUUAAAUCCAGUUUUGCUUGCCUACAUAACGUAGAAAGCCUCUGCCAAAGUGCUGUAGUUCUGUGUGCAUACUCUGUUAGAAAGAGAGAUAAUUUAGUCUUCAUCUCUGUAAAGGUGACUGGAGAUAAUGGAGCAGGUUAUAAUAAAUUUCUUUCUUUAAUUAAUGCCUCCGAAUCUCAGAAAGGGGAAGUCUGCUUUGUAAUUAGGUAUGUGUUAAGCUUUACUCAACAUCAGUCAGGCUCACUACUGCAAAGUAGCAUAUCCCAUUCUAGUCUCAGAGUUCACUUUGUACAAAUAUACCAGCAUCUAAUGAGCAUCAUGUAUUACCGAACCUGGGAUGCAGGUCCGACCAUACCUUGAAACACAUAACUGUUCACAAAGUGUCCAAAAUUAAACUAGUGUUAUGGCAGAUCUAAAGCCAACCACAACACCAAAACAGAUCAACAGUGCAAUAUUUUAAUGCUUGGAAUGCAUGUCUGUCCAGUUUUCCCUGGACUGAUUAAACAGGAAGUUUGCUAGGAUUGCAUCAGAGUUACAGACUUGGUAGAAGGGAUGAAGACAGAAGCAAGCAAAUGUACUCAAGAAAAAAGCCCAUUGUGUUCUCUGUAGCCACCAACAAAAAGAAACAGCUGCACAAGUGCUUCAACACAUCCACAGAGCUUCCUCAAUCCUGCUAGAACAUUUCUUCUACUACUCUUCACUACUGUUCUUACAACAGGCUUUGUUCUUUCCACCAAUAAUGCAAGACCAUCAUCCUCCUAAUUAAAGUCAAUCCCUUUUGAGAUCCCCUAAACCCAAAAGAUGUCUGUAAUAAACCAAAGAUACAGAAGGCUGAAUUUGACCUAGACCAACUCCACCUUCUAACACAGACCUUCACAACUCUACUCUCUGAAGUUCUUUUCUCACAGUGGCAGUAGCAUUUUGCAUUUUUCCCUAUAACAUCCAUGGUGCCACUCUAGACAUCAUCAGACUAACUGAAAAACAUGGCACCUCUUCUAACUCCCUUGUUUUGGGCUUUGGAGGCAAUUUUUAAAUUACAGGAAUAGGUCAGUGUGAUUAUUAAAAAAAUAAAACUUAAAUGCAGAGAAAAUGGUCUACUGCACUUAUCAAAUAAGACCUAACCCCACCUUUUGGUAAUAAAUUGCAUAUGUAAGUGCUAAGUAUAAUUUGCUAUUAAUAAUUUAUUAUUAUUAUUUAUGUUAUUUAAUAACAGCAUAAGCAUGUCCAGGAAAGAGGCAGCAUACCCCACCACUUUCUUAAGUGAACAAGUUCCUUCCUCUGCAUAAGUAUUCCGGCCCAGAGGUAUAUUAUGUCAGAUGAACUACCCAGUCUAUCUCCACUUUUUGCCUGGGAAGGAAGCUUCCAGAUAAAGGAAAGAACAGUCUUAAAAAUGAGAUACACAAUGGUAGAGACCAUAAUGACAUCUAAAAGCAUUUCCAGUAACACAGAAAAUCUUUAUUGCUUUCUGCAUGCUCCUUAAUUAUGUUAAUCAUGAUGAACUUUAAUAUUAUUACCCACUAAUAAUCUUAAAUUGAUAUCAAGGUAGAUGCAAUAUAUAUUACUAUAUGAUUUCCACGCUUGUCUGCAUGAAGGACAAAUGGGGUGAAUUUUUUUCAUUAUGGCUUCUGUUAUAUUUUCCCUGCGUAAAGUCAAUCGUGUACUGCCACAGAAAGAAAUCCAUAACUCAUACUGUUUUGAGAUCAGCUUUUCCUUGUUUGAGAAUGGACAGGUUCACAAGUAUAGACGUAAGAUUGUUAUAUAGCCAGGGUAAAAGGAUAGCACAGUCAGAGAUUUGCACACUUAAAUAAAAAAAAUUACAAAUUAACUGUAUAGAAAGAAUUUGAAAAUGAAGAUUAAUUUAUCAUCCAUUGCCAGACAGCAGUUUAUAUUGGAGCAUUGGAGAAGAAAGUUAACUCAUUAAAAGGAUGGUGCCAAUAAAAAUGCUUAGUACUCUUUAUAUAAAAAGUCAUUUGUAAAAGUAAUUUGUCAUUACCAGAGUAGAUUGACUGAAAGUUACGCAAAUGUAGAAUGUCAAGGAAAUCCUCUGAGAACAAAAAAUACUGUAAAAAUCAGCAUUGCCAGGGGUGGGGAAAUGGACCCCUAUAAUGCCUUGUUAAGGAAAUAAAGCAAAUAGUGUGAUAAGGUGCUUUACAAAUACAUAAAGAAAAAUACUGGCUGAAAUGGGCUAUUUUGCCAUUGGAUUUCUAGGUUUGGUGUAGGACAUACCUCACUCAAGACCAAAGAAAUUACCUCUGUAUUAGACAGCCAAUGUGUACAUAGAUGCCAAUUUAGCUUCACCACUGGGAUGUUGGGCUGUGGACAGCUAAACCCAGCUUUUCACAUGGUCCUAAACAGCCAGGCAGCCCCAGGCCUGCAAGGUAGUCUGAAACUAUUCCCAUAAUUGUCCUCACGUCCCCAUCUGAUUCUUGCUUCUUCACAACUUCUUAUUAAUUCAUCAUAGCUGUCACAAGUUUCUUCUGUAAAAGACCCUGACUGAAUGCCUAGGCUCUCUGCUACUGCUCAGUGUGCCCAAGGAAACAGUACAGACUGACAGGAGGCACUGAGACAUAAAUGCUGAGCUAUGCCCAGCAGGCAGGGAUGGGAACCAGAGUGGACCAGAAUGCCCAACUGAAGCUUUGAGAUGCAGGAAAUCACGUCUUCUCUGCUUGUCCCCAUCCUUUUGGAUGCAGGGAGAGAUGAGACUCAUUACUUCUCUCAUAAAAAUUUGUGAGAGCACCUAAAGGAGUUAGGGCUUGGCAUCCUAGAAACACAUAGUAUCUCUACUUUUGAAAGGCACAGCCCUGGCAAAUGGCCCCAAGAACCCCUACAGAACCUUUUCUCAGCAAUAUCUAGGCCACAAAAGAUUUGUCUUCCUCCUCUGUCCAUUGUAUGACCAGGGCAGAGAAACAUAGAUCUUUUACAGAAAACUGGAAAAGAAAACUAGACCCUCACUAUCAGGGGCACAAUAAUGAAAGAAUCAAUCAUGGAAAAGCCCGUGGGCAUUUCAGCAUGCAAUAAGAGGUCUCAAGACAGUAUUAAACCAGAUUAUUGUGCUGGCAGAGCAUUCUCAGAGAGACCAGCAUCCUCUCUCAGUUUCCUAGGCACAAACAUUCUCCAGGCAUUAACUAUGGACACCCAUCCACCAGUGACAGCCAGCUAGAUGGCAGCCUUGCGUACCACUGCAGAUCUGCCCUUCUGAAUAGACAUCUAUGACAACUGUUAAUACCAAACCUUUACCAAUGGAAAACUAAAUGUUAAACAAGAGUGGAGAAAGAAGACUUCUAAUACUGCAAGAUUUUUCUUUUCUCAUACCAAAAAGGCAAUUGUUUAAUUUAUCAAGAGAUUUCUACUUGUAACCCAUACAAAGAACUGUCUAUAUUUUACACUCACUCAUCUCUUUGUUUUCUCUUAAGUUUGGAGUGCUAUCCUAUGGGAAAGCCUUUCAUUUUUCCAGUCCCAUUAUGUCUUAACUGAAGCCUCAGAAAAGGCCAUUUAGCAGUCUUACACCUGACUAAAGAGAGGGGAGAGAGGAUGUAGUUACCAGAAUGUGGAGACUUCUUAGUCAAGCCCCAGAGACUCAUCCUGAGGAGGAAGUAUCUAGAACUUCAAAGGGAACUCACCCAAAUAAAGUCCCUAGCAUAGAGAAAGGGAAUUGGAAAUCCUCUUGAUUCUGCUGGAAAUACCAUAAUUAAAGAAUGGAACAGAUCUCUGCAACAUUCCCAUGAGUUCAGGCAAUACCACACCCAGUCUGUUAUGGCAGGAAAUUGAUAACAGCAAGUUGGUAAAAGUGCGUGCUCACAUCAGAGAUAGUGGAUUCCCGGAGGAACUAGCAUUAAAUCACAGGAUAAAUCAUGACCAGAAUUUCUAAGUCUACAUGGAAGAUGAACCCCUUACGAGAGGGUUUUACCAUCAUAGGACUACGAGCAAACUAUGCCACCACGUGUGCUGGAAGCUGAUCCGAGGUUAUACCAACCAAAUUCUACUUGUUACUGGUACACACACCUACCCUGUAUAGGCCAAAUAAACCUUGCCAGCCAAUAGUUCUGGAGAUACACUAAGGAUUACUGCUACCACAGCUGCACAAUUUAGAGAUCAAACCUAUUUCCAUGCCUGAAGCCAUUCGAAGAGGAGCCUCUCGCAUAAAAUAUGCAACCAUAGCUAAUGACAUGUUGUAUAUAAUUAGUCAUGUCUAGCCCUCCAGGGGGUAACUAAUACAUUUAGUAGAUAUUUAGCAUGCAAUUUAGAUCUUUUUCCAGAUUUCUCAAAACCAAUUUUUUUGGGGGGUGGGGGGUGGGGGAAGGACAGCUGUUGCCAGGAAAGAAAAAAAUUCAUGGCAAUGAAGAAAUUUGCAUAUACUUGGCCAAUAUUAGUAAAGAAGUUUAAGGCUGAUUGCCUCUCCAGGAUAUGGACAUUUUUACGAGAUCCUUAACAGAAGAAAUUGGUAUUUCUAACCAGUCUUUUUUUUUCCUCACUAAGACUAAGUAUGUAGUAGUUUGUGUUGUAACUAGGAGUAUAAAUUUAGUAAUGCCAGAGAUCUGAUUGGCUGUAUUUCUGAAGAUAUCAAAAUUGAAAUGUAACAGCAGUACUAGGAAGGACAAGGAAAGGAAAAUUCCACAUAAGACAAUGGGGCUGAUUCUUACUUGACUUAAUAGCAAUGUUGAUCAAGAGUAAUUGAUGCUGAAUUCAGAGAACUUACUCAAGGGGAGAGAAGGGGAUGGAAAAGGAGAGAGAAUUGCCGUUUUCAGAAUUACAGGCUAUAAAAGAUAUCCAGAGCCAAGAAAAAAUUCCUUACUGAUUUUCUAUUGCAUUCACAUUUGGAAAACAACUUCAUUUCUUUCCAUGAGACCUUUGCAUUUCCAAAACUUCUUAAAGACAAAAUAUUUGGUCGAGCGUGUUGUAUUUGCAACAAUUAGCAGAGCAGCUAUUUAGAAAUAGCUGUUGCAAUGAACCAUAUCCAUUGCAAAAAGGGACACAAUAAGGAGAGGAACAAAACUGAUCUUCCACAUUCCUGUUUCAAAACAGAGGGCACAGUGCUGAUCAAAUUUUGAUUUGGGUUCAUUUUAAUUAGCCUGUGGGAAUUCAUUACACAGAAUGUAAGAUACAGUUUUGAGAAUUUAGCUCUCCUUCUCUAGGCCUCCAUCUCCUGAGAAUCCUACCCUCAGUUUCAACCUCUUCAGCGUUCUCUCUGAGCAUAGCUGUCUCUGUGGGUCAUGGAAAGUUUAUAUACAAUGCUCGCCAAAGACUACUGGCAACCUGAGACUUUCUGUGAGGAUUUCACACACACAUUUGUAGAGCUCAUCAAGCUCCAAGAGCCAUCCCUUGGCUAUACUGCACUCACAGCUCACAGUCCUGGUCUGCAUUAGCACAUCUAAAGUACUAAAAACCUCUUCCUGUCCCAGACCCUGCACUUCAUUGGAGAGGCUAUUGGUGCUGUGUCUGCAUUUCUCUGCCACUGAAUUAUGAAGGGCACAGGGAUAUCUGUAACAGCAGCAGAAUCUCAACCCUUUUGUACUUGUGUUACUGCUGCUUUUCUAUGUCCAGUGCUUUCUCUACCUCUCAGCACCACAUAUUUUUAACAUGUCUUCACUGAUAAUGUCGCUCUGACUACACAAAGGACUGGCAGCUUUUCAGUUACCAAAAUAGUGGCUGUUACAUAAACAGUUUUCUCAACUCUUUUGUGCUUGAUGCUUCUGUGACAGUGUUUAUAGUUCACAUUUUGACAAUGUUUUUCAGAAUUCAAAGAUUUCCAUUGUAUUAGUUUGUCUAAUACUGACAUCUCAAACGCCAUUCCAAUCUCAUCUAUCAUUUUUAUGCAAGCUUUUCCCUCAGAAUUAUAAAAACCAGUCAUAAGCACUUCAGGAAGGGCAGACUCAUCUAAGCAAGCAGCAGGUCAUUUGCAUGCUAACAGCAACUUCCACAGGGGAAGCAAACCACAAUCACAAAAUGGUGUACUAAGCCUAAAAUGUGAACUAGAUCAGAAACAAAUAACAGCUGACAUAGCCACCCAAAACCAAAAUGACAACAGUCACCACCAGACCUUCAUCUGUACGGUUUCUGCAUACUAAAAACAUGUUUGUAUUGGGGUUCUAGUGGAGGAUUAUUUAAAUGUAUCAACAGGGUAAUGUUCUUUUUCAGUCACCUGUGUGACAGGAUCACAAAAAUGAUAUAGCAUUAAAGAUUUUUCUCUUUGUCCCAGGAAAGCCACACAGCCUUCCUUAGAAAAAAGAUGGGUAGGGAGGGAAAGAAGCCUGUGCUUGAAACUGAAGGAAGAAAGGAAUGCAGCAUUCUCAGUUCUUCUCUGUAAAUUAAUUUUAUUAUAUCUAAAUCAAAAUGUCAGCACAUACUUUAUUUUCAGCUACUUUUAUAUACUGUAUAUUAGACAGCUGUAAUUUCAUGUUGCAUUUCAAAAAUACAUUCCCAUGAAGCGUAAUUCUAAAUAGCAGAAAGUGUCACAAUACUUUUACCUGUACACACAGACAACACUUAUGGCCUAAUAUCUUUGUGAACCCUUCCAGUAUACAAAUUGCAGUACCAAUGGUGAAAUUCCCCUGGAUUUUGUCUGUAACAGCAAGCACAAAUAGAAAUUUCAGAAAAAGACCCAAGAAAUCCUGAAAUGCUAACUGGGUAGGUGAAGGAGAGUUUCUUUCUUCUCAUCAUAUAGAUAGGUCCUAGAAUGUGAAAACAACCUUCUUUUUUAUAUAUCCUCUUUAAAGAAGUGUUACUUUUUGAAACAGCUCUUGCGAGCUGCAUUGUUGCUGCUGGUUUUUUUUUGAAAGGUCUUGGAGGACUCGAUCUCUUGUGCCCAUGAAUUUCCAUGAGUCAACUAUGCAUUAAUAAAGGCAAGAGUUCACACAUGCAAAUGGUAUUUUGUGAAAGAAGUCAUAUGAGAUUUCAUUUGCAUUGCAUUUUAAAAACCCACAUAACAAUCUUUUUCCUCAAUAGUUACAAUAUAGGCCAUUAGGUCUAUAUAUCAUACCAAAAGAAUAAACAAUUAUAUUAAUUUUGCAGUGUAAAAAUGAAAAUAGCAUAUAUACAUGCAAUUUUAGGCAUAUGAAGGCUAGCUAUUUAUAUCUGAAAUUUGGCAGCUUGUAGUAUACUUGCACAGUAUUUUUAGUAUUGAUAUAUCAGAGAAUGUUGGUGUAUGUGACUGACAGCUGACUACAUUUAUAUUUACACUACAGAAAGGUUUGUGUAAUGAUGAUAUCACAUCAGAUACCAGUCCUUUUAAAAGUACUAUGAUAUAUGCUUUCAUGGCCACGAAAUAGAUUUACAUUUAAAGCUUCUAAAUUAGGCACUCUAAAGUAGGUAUGAUUUUUUUUCUUUGAAGUGCUUGGAGACUGUUGGACACUGAAGGUGCUUUAAAACCCAAUCUCACCCUUCCAUGGAAUGACACAUCAAUGCAGGGCAUGAUGAUGUUCCACUGGCUCCAGAGGAAUCAUUCAGAGAACAAAGGCAAAUGCGAUAGGAGAAGUACUAAAUCUUAUACAGUACUUACUUUAAAACUUCCAUUGAAGUAAAAGACUGUCAUUUGAACUCAAAGAUGUUUAAGCACCUGGCUGACUUUGUGUUUAAAGAAUACAUGCAAGUAAUGCCUGUAACUGAGAAAAUGGACCUUACUAAUUGAGACAGAUUCUGUAACAAGCACUACCUGCAGAUCAACAUGCACCAUUAUACCUGAAUGCAGAAAAACGGUCUCCAUCCCAAACUCACGGCCUAGUGCUGUAAAAUUGUGUUUCUGUAAUAUCUCAGAACAAAAUAGGCAGCAUUAAAGUUCAGUAGUCUGUUUCAAAGAUUCUUGAUUUUAGCUAUGACAAAGGUAACAUUUCUAGAAGUCAAAAGUUUUGACAGAUAUAUGCAAUGUAAGGUUUGUAUUAUGCAAUGGCUAGAUAAAGUUUAUUAAAACUACCCCUCAUAUUCCAAAAGAAUGCCACUGCAUUAUGUAGCUACCUUAAUGUUCAUCCUGUUACAUCCCUGGUUGCCAUGGCAAUAUCCUCCUAGGUAUUUGUAAGGUCACAAAAAGAAGAGCUAACCCUCUUACUCCCAGAAUAACUAAUGCAGCUCAGUUACAGGCUUGAUGUAAAUAGUCUCAGGUGACAGCAAACUGUACAUAUAGUCAAUUACAACUGCUCAGAGGAAAUGAUUUGUUGUAAGAGCCUCUGCUCAACCUCGGUGACAUCAAUGUUUCUAUGGCAACAGUUGCCUCUUGCACUGCUUAGAAUUGAGUAUUGAUCAAACUAGGGCCAGCACUAUUUCAGAGACUUGCUACUUUUCUGUGUGGCAAUUUACAAUAGGAACUCAUAACAUCACUGUAUAUUUCAAGCCCCAAGGAACCAAUUUAGCAGACAGUUACAGUAGAAUAUUAGCAGAGGUCAAUAAUGGAAGUCUGAUUAUAGUCCUGGAACAAUUAUUCAAAGCUUUUGUUGUCUGCUCUUUCAUCACUCCACCAGCUAUUAAAAUCUUCAAAUAAUAAUAUUCAACCCCAAAGAAAGUGCUGAAUUCAUUCAUCUUCUAUUUUAAAUUUUAUUUUUCAUUGUUAUGUUAUCUAUCAAUAAAAUUAUUCAGCUAUAUUAGCCACGCUCUGACCUCUCAGAAGUAAAUAACUAUUGAUCAAGAAGUGGAGCUCUGAUGGCAUAGCACACGGUUUCCAUUAAUGGUCUCAUUGGCCCAGCAGAUAAGGUGAUUCUUGCAGGAGAGCAGACAAACAGCACAGGGCCAUUCCCAGAGGAGAGCAGGAAGGCACACAUGGUUCUUUGUAGGGGGAUGGGGACUCCUCUCCCACGUCUGUCAGCAGCAAAAUGGAAAAGCCUCGGUAAUAUGUGUGUGUUCCAGAAAAGGCACUGAGGCCUUUACACCUCUCACACGCAAUCUCUGCAUCUGGGCAUUCUCACGUUUUAGAGGGGAUAAGGAAAGUUUUCGUGUCACCUGUUUUCCUUUAUGAAAACAGAUACAGCGUGGGGGUCUUUUGUGUGUUGAAUGGCAAAAAUGGCCAGUCUCAGGACUAGCCAAGAAUUUGUGAUGAGUAAUAAUGCUGAGAAUGUCAAGAGAAUGAUGUUACUCUAAGAAUGUUUCUUCUUCAUUAAUUGUGAGGGUUUGCGGACUGAAGAGAUUGCUUGCUUCUUAAUUUUAAAAACAUCACACACAUCAGCCUAUGAUUUGUCACUCCUUUUGCUCCUACAGUAAUUUUCCUUUAUGCUUGAAACAGGGAAAUGAAAGAAAACUCUUUGCAUGGUUUACAACAAGAAACAAUUUACUGCAUUUCUCUAACCUCAUCAAUUAAUGAGUACUCACAGAAUUAGCCUAUCUCUUAACAUGAUGCACUUCAAAAAAUACUUUUCUAUACCUCCCAGCAAUUUGCAAAAUGAGGUAUUUAUGGGAAGCAAAGUUUGUCUCCUGCUCUUCCACCUAUUUUAGUAGGUCAACCCAGAAAUUUUAUUUCAGGCCCUCUUCUAUGUAAAUUGUACUUCAGAUGCACAUACAUUUUCAUUCAAAUCAAUAGGAGUCAGACAUAUCAAAGGAGGAAAUUAUCCCCUCAUUGAGUCUUCUUCUCCAAAGUAGAUUUAUGUAACUCCUACACAGAGACAAUGUAGUUAAUUACAUUCUUCUUUGAGUGCAUCAGUGGGAAAAUAGGAUUUAACUAUCAGGGAUGUUAAGCAGACAAAUUCACCAGGAAUUGAGAAAAUUCCUGUACUCAUCUCCAAAAAAGAGGGGGAGAAACUUCCAAGCUCAGCAAGAUCUAAAUGAAAAUGCUAGAGGGAAUGAAGAGAAAAUGAACAAUCAUUUCUGAGGUUAGUAAGAUUCUCAGUUGGUCACUAUUCCCAUUUAACUUCUUUGUCAUUGUUUCCCCAAAGAGGGUCAAAAAGAUCAAUCUGUGAUGUCACCAGGAUGCUCUAGCAGCUCCCCCAUCUUUUAUUCAUUAGGUUCAGGCUGUGUUGUUUCCUGUCUAUCUCAGUGUCUAGCCAAGAUUGAGGCCUGGAUGACACUGGUUGGCUGAUACACAAUCCAGAAGAGGCAGAUGUUGUACUGGAACCAGCAAACUGAAAGGCAGGGAACACAUGUAGCUACUUUAUCAUUGGAGGAUCAGUUGUAACAACCUAAAAGCUUUAAAGGGAUUCUCUCUUUUUGCUUCUCAGAGAGAAGAAAAAUAAGUCAUAAGUGCCUUUCAGGUCUAUUAUUGAUCAAGGGUAAUGGGAACUUUCUGUUGCAGCUGCAGAAGUCAUUCAGGUUCCUGCCUGUAUGGAAGUGUCUUGGAAAAAUGUGGUUAAUAAAAUGCAGUAAUGGCUGGCUACUACUACACAUUGCAGAAAGCAGAGUGCAAAAACUAUUCUUCUAAAAAAUCUGGUGUAAAUGAAAACUUUGUACUUAUUUGUAAAACAGGUAGUUCUCCUAUAGUUGGGAAAUAUUAUUUUUUUUGCAUGAACGGGCUAUGGCAACUAAACACUGACACAGUAAUCAAGUACAGUGACCAAAGAAAGUGCACCAUGCAGAAGCAUCAUCCCAGCACAGUUUCCAUCACUAUUUUUGUGGAUUUCUGUGAGGUUACACUUUAUAUACCAUUUUGUACAGUAAAUUUGAAGUAUGUAAGUUGUACCAAUUCACUACAUGGUAUUAAAGUGGCUAAAAUUAUGGUUUCAUACUUUAAAUAGAAAAAUGAGAAAGGGUAAAAGAAUAAUAAAAAAAAUCUCACAAAUUCUAAUACUGUUUUAGGGUUAAUUCCAGCUUUUUCUUCCAGAACUAACAACUAUAUCUAGGCUGAGCUGUUGGGUUAUUGUUCCACUUAGGCACAGUCUUUUCUGGUAUGUUGAAUCAGACCUUGAAAUUAUCAAGGAAUAAAUUGACUUCAGUGCAUACAGGGACAGACUUUUAAAGCAGUUCUGUGUGGUUCUGAUCAAUAGGUACAUGGUUUAUGUUCUUGACUACAUAGCCUUGAUUUAGAGAGCUCCCUUGGAGCCUAAGACAUAGUAUUCCUGUAUUGGGAUGAGCUACAGUGAAACAACAUGAGGACCAUGAACCCACCUAUCUUUUAUUUCUCACCACAGUCUGCAGGUAAAAAUAUAACACCUCAUCAUUUUAUCUUUCUGUAUAUCACUGUACAAUCAGCAGUACUUUCUUUUCAUCAAAACCUACUCGACAAAAAUUGUAAAAUUUGAGAAAGCACUAAGUCUUUUAUGUUGCAGAAAUAUAAGGUGCAUCAAGCCCAGCCUUUAAGUGAGCCAAUCCUCCAACUGGAAGAUAUAAGCUGUCACAAGUGCUUUACACAGACUGCUUUUUAGACUGAUUUUGAAUUUCGUUGUGGGCUUACAUCACACAAUUAGCACCAAUAUCAGCUACAGCAAUUAGCACCAGAGAGGCUCCAAGAGCUGCCACUCUGGGUGAACUAAACUGCUAAACACGUUCCAGCAUUUUUCUAUUUUCAGUGUUCAGUCCUGUUCACUAACUAGAAAGAGUUAUAUUGAAAUUGCUGAAAUUGAAAUUACUCUGAAAUUGAAAAUUAAUUCCAAAUUCAUAUCAGAGGGAAACCCUAACAACUCUCAGCAUUACAGCUGAGGAAGGAUACAUUUUCCACCGAACAACCAUGCAAGAGCCGUCAGUCCUCUCCUGUCUUAUAAGAUAACUUUUUACUCUGCAUUUCAAAUUACUGCUAAGAGAGAUGGACUUUUACCUCUUCAGCCUGUGCAAUACCAGUGCUGUUUUUCUAACUUCUAAGUUGUUUAGAGGAACACAGUCAAAAGCCUGAGAAGAAAAACAAGGAUGCAAAAAUGACUCUCUUAUACCUUUGCUUGAUGAGGUAUCAGAAAGUCAACAUCCUCAAUACUGUUCAUUUAGGUCAGAAGAGGCAAUAGAAGCAGAAGUUGCAUUUGAAACAUAUCUCUAAAUUUCAGCUUACAGAAAACAAAUAAGCUGUGCAACAAGGAGCUCACACGUACAGCUAUUGAGGAAUAUGAAAUGGAAGCUUACAGGCAUAGUUGUCAAUAUAUUUUGAUGUAUAGUUGAAGACUUGAUAUAUAGUUAUAUUCCAAAUUUCUACUGGAAAGUCAAUUCUCUUGCAAUUAAACGCUUACCACAAUAAAAGGGAGCAAAAGAAACUGUCAUAUCAGACAUUUAUUUUGAAGCAUUGUGCUUUAAAAUGCUCAUGUAUAAAAAAUCAAAACUAAAACCCCCAUUUUUCCAUUGCAUCUCAAGAAAAAGGAGAGAAUCUUGUUGAAGCACGGUGAGUAAGCACUCCAGAAUAAGCCUUUUCAUGAGAAAAAACCCCUCUCAUUUGAAGUAACAUUAUUAUGGAAUUAUUUUAAUGGAACAAAAAAGCUCCUUUCCUCCAUCUAUAACUAGACACAGCAAUAAAUUAAGGAUGGAAAGUCCCAGAGGUAUUCCUCAUGUUUGAUUUCAAACAUACUGUGUUGCGUUCAACAAACCUCUCAGAAGCAAGUGUUCAGCUAAGACUGUGCAGUUCAAAAACAUCAGGAGCCCCUAAAGGACACAAUGGAGAUUAGGAGCAAAACUCAGAAAAGCAGUCAGGAAAGUCGUCCUCUUUCAUAUUUUCUUUCCUUAAUACUGAACUGGGCAAGUGAUUAAGUACUGUUAAGUAGUUUUCUAGGGUUUCCAGACCUAUUUCUUUUGAUCAGAGCAUUUGCUAAAAGUAAAAUUCAAAUCCAAACGAGCUUUGUUAAAGCCCCAAUUCCUGUGUUCCUCACCCUGGGUUAAUACCCAAUCACGUGUGUCAAGGUCAGAAGGGACCAAUGUGAUCAUCUAGUCUGAAGUGCUGCACAACACAGACCAUAGAAUUUCACCCAGCAAUUCCAGCGUCUAGCCAAGUAAUUUGUGGCUGAACUAGAGCGUAUCUUUCGAAAAGUCAGCCAGCAAGCUCUUAAGCAUUUGUGGAACUUCAUCUGCUUGAGUAUGUUCAUUUAGUUCACUAGAGUAGACGUAACUGUUUAGGCUUAAGAGUGCUCAGGGUCAAAAUGCAAAACAAACAAAACUCAGCUGCCAAAACCCCAAAAGUUUUCCGUUAUUAGUGAGGGAAGACCCUAUGAUGAUUCACAAAGCUCUGGGUCAUUCCUGCAAGAUAAAAGUUUUUUGAAUUUGUUAGGAUGUCAAAUAUUUAGAGCUUAAAAAGAAAUAUGUCUCAGCAAUGGCAAAAUCCUUUGGCUAACCUCACAGGCAAAGACACAUGGAGAGAUCAUAAUUUCCAGAGAUUUUAGAAAGAGCAAACACUUGCCAGCCUCUAAAAAGUAAUCCUGUAAGUAAAAAAAAAAAAAAAAACUAAAAAAAAAAGUGGAGGGAGUGAGUGGAAUAAAAAUACUCAACACAUCUUUAAUCUUUAAAUACACAUAUACAGCUUCUCCACGAAUGGAGGGAAAUCUCAUCUACCUGUUUAAACCAUCAUCCAAUCCAUUUGCACAGACAGAAACAACUAUUUUAUUCUGAUUAUUUAACUGUUCUCAAACUCCUAUUGAAGAGGAAGGAUCAAGCUACAAAAUAGGUUACAUUUUGGACAAACACUUCAUAUUAUGAGUACAGUUCCAACUAGGUCUUUAUUAGAGACUUAGCUUCAAGUGUAAUGGAGCCUCAUUUAGAAAGUCAAGUCCUUGCCUUUGUAGAAGAGAUUUCACAAUAAAAACAUAAUCUUUUCCUGAAAGGAAAAAUAAGGCUGAUUUCUUUAUGGAAAGAAUAGAAGCAAAAGAAGUACCAGUGGAAUGACAAAGUACUGUAAUGAGUCAAAGAUAUAGAUAGGUUCUAUUUCUAAACCUGCUACCUGCUAAUGUGGAAAAUCUCUUCCUUUUCUCCAUGUUAAUUUCCAAGGUUUGCUCUAAUUAAAAUUGCAAGUUUAAUUAAAGCUGUAAGUUUUCCAGAAUAAAGUCUAUACUUGCUGUGAUUGUGUUUGCAUGAUGUACUAGUAAGCACCAGCACAAAUAUUUUAAUGUUGCUUUCUGUCAUGUGCUAUAGAAACAAUCAGAGAAGAACAAAAGUGAGGAGGAAGGUGAUCAAACCUUCUGAAAUAAGGUAAUUUGAAAUACCUGAGGGAGUAGAAAGCUAAGAUGCUAAGAACAAUAAAAAAGUGGGAAGGAGAAAAAGAUGCGGGAAAUGGGAAUUGUAUUGAAGAGAUGAAUGCUGAGUGCAGAUUAAAAAAAAAAAUCUAAGCAUAAAUAGAAUUGCAGAAUGGUAUUUCCUGAUGGGUCACGUGCAAUAUGUUGCAUCUCUGUGCCACAGAAGUAGGAUGGAUUUUACACAGCUAAAGCUUUGAAGACAGUGCUUGGUUUGCCAGUAUGGAGCCUGCCUUCACCUUUAUUACUGAAGGAGGAUGUUUUUAUUUGCCUAGUGCAAUGCAUUAUAUCCAUAAAUUCCAUCCACUCAGCAAGUCAAAUUAAUGCUAACCUACAAGAUACAUUAGGUAUGGGUUUAAAUCAGUCACUUAAGAUAUACUGCAACCUAGUUUCUAUCCAGGUUUGCAAUAUAUUCACCAUUAAAAUACCCUGCAAACAUUCCUCAAGAUGCAUUGUUUGUUGGGGUGUCUCACCUUUGCCAGCAAUGUGAAGGUGUAAAGAAUACAAGAUAUAAUUUGUGUUGUUCCAUGAUCACUACCAAUGAAAUUUCAGACUGUCAAAACAUUCCAGUGCUACAAGAAAACAAAUCCUGCUGAAUCACAUUAGUUAACCACUUAAUAGAAAAAUCUACUGAUUUCCAUCAUGAGUAGCUUGCAUUGGGCUUAUGUGAGAUUGUGAUAUUUUUCAGGUGAUAGCAGGAGAAAAGCUGAUGAAUUACAUCUGAAUUCUUACUGGUAUAUGGCAAAAUUAAGGUCUAUCUACUUAAUGGUGAUGUCCAAAUUUUCUUCAUUCAUCAAAUUGUCCUAUUUUACAUAAAAGGCAUUUAUAGGCAUAACUACUAAUGCCCUAUAAUGUGUAUGUACGAGUUAUCAAAAAUAAUUUCAAAGCUAACAAGCUGAUUUCUGUAGUUGCAGAGUUACACCUACUGCAAUCAUUUUAGAUGAGAGAGGCAUAGAAAGUACAAAUGGAAAAAAAAACAGGAGGGGAAAUUCAGAAUGCAGAAGUUUCCCUAGAGGGAUGCAGGACAUAGAUACAUUUCUACAGCAUGUGUCACUCCUUUGUCAAUAUUUACCCAGCAAGUUGAAUGAUAAUGUGCAGUCAUUAUUAAACUCAGCCUUCUAAAAGAAUAGGUUCUGGCUCUUGAUACAGUUGCUCUGUGUAAAUUAUUCCAGGGAUUAUGCCUGGAUUGUGCCACUGGCAGUUAUUUCAGAUCUACAUCUCAUUUCCAGAUGGUUCAUCUGUUUGCUUCUUUAAUAUAUUCAAGAUUCAUUGUGUUUGUCACACAUUUACACAUUUUUAAUGUUGGUUACUCAGAUAAAUUUGAUCUCAGACAAAGAAUAAAGAGAUAACAUCUGUAGAUUUUUCAUGCUAAUGCUAACUUAAAAAUUUCUCUAAACAGUGAAAGCACAAGAUAGUUUUUGAAAGAUUAUCCAAACAUUAGAGUUUUUCUUGCUCAUUAAAUAUUGUAGGAAACAAAAUUGGUCUGCCUAAUUUUACCAAAUUAUUUCCUUCAGUGCAGGAAGCCAAGACAUGCAUAAGGGAAGCCAUAGCCCAUAUUUUUCCUGCUGAGGUUCAGACUUUUGCUCCUACUUUUGAAACAAACAGUAUGCACACAAGGCAGAUUCAUAUAGCCCUCCCUUCUAAGCACUUUUUAGUAGUCCUUUUCUCAAAAAGGUAUUGGUUUCAUGGAGAGGGAAGAAAGGUAAAAAAACCCCAGUAAGUCUCCACUCUAUGCUGUGUUUUCAAGGCUUUGUAGAGGAACUCCGUGGUAUCACUAUAUUUUCCCCUGUAUCUACCAUAUGUUUCUUAGGACACUGUUCAUGAAAGACAGAAAAGAAUCCAUCAUUUCCACAAAAUAUUUGCACCUCUGUUACAUACUUUUACAUACGAGAGGUGCUAAAAGUGUCUACUAAAAUAAGAAUUAUUGGCUACUUUCUACAUACAUUAGAUUCCUAAGGUUCAUGGGCUAGGCAAUUAAGGCAAAUAAUUACUAUCUCAAACGUACAGGUAAGAAGUGGGCAUAGGAGAGUGACUUUCCCAGGCCAAAAAAGACAAUGGGAGAAGUUCAAAUGGAAUUCACAUCUCCUGAGAUCCAGUCCAGCAUUGUAUUUUUAACCUGGAUUAUACUAGUAAAGGCAUGGGGAGAAGUGUGAAAUACUAAGAGCUUUCUUUCACAGACAGAAAGGGACUCAAUAAAAAUGCAGGGGGAAAAUACUCUGAAAUCUAAUUUUUAUAUUUCACAAGCAAAUCCUGUUGUAUUACAGAAGCUCAAGAAACAGAUCUGCAUGGAAAAGCUGUUUGUAGAAAAUACAGAGCCAUAACCUCUGAUUAUCAAGCCACCCCAAGUUUUGUUAGCAUGUGAAAUGAUAUUUAUCCCACGCAUUGAUUGUCCAUACUGAAAAUAACAAUAUCACACACUUACAGAAUACUUGUGGAAUUUGUGCAAACUGUGAACAUAUUUUCAGAUCAAUUUUUGAGAUAAAGAAAUGAGACAGAAAAAUAUCUUCAGCCUUUUAAAACUACUAAAAGUUCCUACAGUUUAUUUGUACAUGCUUAUUAUCAAUCAGUGGCAACAUUAAGAGUUGCAUGUAAAAUUACACUUGCAAUUAUAUCGACAAAGUUUUGGUCAGUGAACAGAAGGUUAAAUCAAGUAAAAUACUUCAAGUCCCAAAGAAAGCUCUGGAACCAAAACAAUGAAAAUGAAGCUCUCCCACCCCCUUGUCCUGGGCCUCAACCCCAGGAAUCUUUGCUCUGUACUUGACAGUCUUUUAUUUCAGAGCUUAAAAAAAGAACCAUUUUUGCAGCCAUAGAAGCAUGUUCACUCUUCUCCAAACAGUACAUUUGUCAUUCAUCAGUGAACAUUCUGUGUUAGAUUAUGAACCAUUAACACCAUUCACCUGCACCAUGA